CCCUUAGAUGUUCUGGGCUGCACGCGCGCUACACUGAAGCGUUCAACGAGUAUUCACCUUGCCCGGGAGGGUUGGGUAAUCUUUUGAAAACGCUUCGUGAUGGGGAUAGAUUAUUGCAAUUAUUAAUCUUCAACGAGGAAUGCCUAGUAAGCGCAAGUCAUCAGCUUGCGUUGAUUACGUCCCUGCCCUUUGUACACACCGCCCGUCGCUCCUACCGAUUGAAUGGUCCGGUGAAGCGUUCGGACCGUGGCCUUUGGACGGUUCGCCGUCUGUUGGCUGCGGGAAGUUCGUUAAACCUUAUCAUUUAGAGGAAGGAGAAGUCGUAACA
RNAcentral lists this ribosomal RNA (328 nucleotides) under uncultured eukaryote. RNAcentral's name for it is "partial 18S ribosomal RNA". It matches the Rfam family "Eukaryotic small subunit ribosomal RNA", at positions 1470 to 1796 of the family's 1831-position model. The record is from RNAcentral.